Haemorhous mexicanus (house finch) is the source of this 641-nucleotide long non-coding RNA. RefSeq lists it as uncharacterized. Lineage: Eukaryota; Metazoa; Chordata; Aves; Passeriformes; Fringillidae. The record is from RefSeq and is a predicted model, not a curated record. The transcript is spliced from 3 exons.
CAGGAUUGACUUUUCACUAAAAAAUAAAUCACAGAUUCAGUAUAUGGCCAUACAAACCUUGUUGCAGACUGGAUCCAAGAAGAUCUUUGGGUCUGCUAGAAGCAACUCUUCUGCUUCUGUCCUUGAAGGAUUUUCUUAACUGCAGCUGCACAACUACCAAGGUAGAAGAAAAUGAACCAACAUGUUUCCUCAGACCCACAGCUACAAGCUCCUUAAAUUGAUCUUCACUUCAGCACAAGCUGCAGAAGCUUCACACUCAGCAGAGAAUUCCCAAUGAGGCCUUGGGAACAUUCAGUAUCUGUCUCCUACAAAUUAAUCCCUCUGGAGAUAAGUAUCCAACAUCUUAGAAGGAAUGAAAACCUUUUACUCCAUCAACUCUCUCCCACAAGGUGCAUCUUGCUACCACAUCCCUACAUCCAUGCUGCAGAGGAGCUCUCUCAAGACCUAAAACUCUACGGAGAACACCUGAAAUUUUGCUUGACUCUAACCUCAAGGUACAGGAAACUCACCUUUUAUAUCUCUGUUUUCCAGUGGUUUGUCUACAACCCCCUGGAGGUCCUUUGGCUAUUUCUAGGGAAGGCAUAUAGGAAAUAUACCUAACAAAAAUAAAUCUGUACUCACUAGCCUUAUAUUUGCAGCUC